RNAcentral lists this non-coding RNA (50 nucleotides) under uncultured Mamiellales. The record is from RNAcentral. Lineage: Eukaryota; Viridiplantae; Chlorophyta; Mamiellophyceae; Mamiellales.
UUUUUUUUUUUUUUUUUUUUUUUGUUCUUCUUCUUUUUUUGAUCUCCUGA